This 368-nucleotide ribosomal RNA is filed under the name Sedimentisphaerales bacterium. RNAcentral's name for it is "bacterial SSU rRNA". It matches the Rfam family "Bacterial small subunit ribosomal RNA", at positions 1 to 364 of the family's 1533-position model. Lineage: Bacteria; Pseudomonadati; Planctomycetota; Phycisphaerae; Sedimentisphaerales. The record is from RNAcentral.
AAACUGAAGGGUUUGAUCCUGGCUCAGAACGAACGCUGGCGGCGUGGCUAAGACAUGCAAGUCGAACGGACCAUCCAAUUGAGCAAUCGAGAGGGUGGUUAGUGGCGAAAGGGUGCGUAAUAGAUAGGUAACGUACCCCGGGCUUCGGAAUAGCGCCCCGAAAGGGGCGAUAAUACCGAAUAAUGUCAUAAUUCGCGUGAUUUAUGACCAAAAAUAUGUUGGCCUGGGAGCGGCCUAUCGCCUAUCAGCUUGUUGGUGAGGUAACGGCCCACCAAGGCUUUGACGGGUAGCGGGGCUGAGAGGUCGGCCCGCCUCAUCGGGACUGAGACACUGCCCGGACCUCCACGGAGGGCUGCAGUAACGAAUAU